Molecule: non-coding RNA, 192 nt
Organism: Fukomys damarensis (Damara mole-rat)
Lineage: Eukaryota; Metazoa; Chordata; Mammalia; Rodentia; Bathyergidae
Source: Rfam
CCAGAUGAUGAGACCAAGGCGAAUGUGACUCCGGCUCUGCCCGGGCCCGCAGUGGGGCUGUGGGGGGAUCCGGAGUCUCGGAGGGGACACCUGAGGCCGGGCUCCCUGCCGUAAGGCCGGGUCCAUAGCACUGCUGGCCUUGGUGGGGUGGGGGUGGGCAGAAGCCGCAUGAGCACAAGCUUGGAUCUGACG